Molecule: ribosomal RNA, 779 nt
Filed under: uncultured marine bacterium
Lineage: Bacteria
Description: bacterial SSU rRNA
Rfam family: Bacterial small subunit ribosomal RNA
Source: RNAcentral
CAAUACUUAGUGGCAGACGGGUGAGUAACAUGUAGGUAUCUGCCCUUUGGCCUGGAAUAACACGAGGAAACUUGUGCUAAUACCGGAUAAGUCUUUACGGAGAAAGCUUUAUGCACCAUUGGAUGAGCCUGCACUUGAUUAGUUUGUUGGUGGGGUAAUGGCCUACCAAGACUGUGAUCAAUAGCUGAUUUGAGAGGAUGAUCAGCCACAUUGGGACUGAGACACGGCCCAAACUCCUACGGGAGGCAGCAGUGGGGAAUCUUGCACAAUGGAGGAAACUCUGAUGCAGCGAUGCCGCGUGAGUGAAGAAGGCCCUUGGGUUGUAAAGCUCUUUCGUCGGGGAAGAAAAUGACUGUACCCGAAUAAGAAGGUCCGGCUAACUUCGUGCCAGCAGCCGCGGUAAUACGAAGGGACCUAGCGUAGUUCGGAAUUACUGGGCUUAAAGAGUUCGUAGGUGGUUGAAAAAGUUGGUGGUGAAAUCCCAGAGCUUAACUCUGGAACUGCCAUCAAAACUUUUCAGCUAGAGUAUGAUAGAGGAAAGCAGAAUUUCUAGUGUAGAGGUGAAAUUCGUAGAUAUUAGAAAGAAUACCAAUUGCGAAGGCAGCUUUCUGGAUCAUUACUGACGCUGAGGAACGAAAGCAUGGGUAGCGAAGAGGAUUAGAUACCCUCGUAGUCCAUGCCGUAAACGAUGUGUGUUAGACGUUGGAAAUUUAUUUUCAGUGUCGCAGCGAAAGCGAUAAACACACCGCCUGGGGAGUACGACCGCAAGGUUAAAACUC